GACGAACGCUGGCGGCGUGCUUAACACAUGCAAGUCGAACGGAAAGGCCCUGCUUUUGUGGGGUGCUCGAGCGGCGAACGGGUGAGUAACACGUGAGUAACCUGCCCUUGACUUUGGGAUAACUUCAGGAAACUGGGGCUAAUACCGGAUAGGAGCUCCUGCUGCAUGGUGGGGGUUGGAAAGUUUCGGCGGUUGGGGAUGGACUCGCGGCUUAUCAGCUUGUUGGUGGGGUAGUGGCUUACCAAGGCUUUGACGGGUAGCCGGCCUGAGAGGGUGACCGGCCACAAUGGGACUGAGAUACGGCCCAGACGCCUACGGGAGGCAGCAGUGGGGAAUAUUGCACAAUGGGCGGAAGCCUGAUGCAGCAACGCCGCGUGCGGGAUGACGGCCUUCGGGUUGUAAACCGCUUUCGCCUGUGACGAAGCGUGAGUGACGGUAAUGGGUAAAGAAGCACCGGCUAACUACGUG
This 468-nucleotide ribosomal RNA is filed under the name uncultured bacterium. RNAcentral's name for it is "partial 16S ribosomal RNA". It matches the Rfam family "Bacterial small subunit ribosomal RNA", at positions 28 to 507 of the family's 1533-position model. The record is from RNAcentral.